GAGGAGGAAGAGGAGGAGGAGGAAGAGGAGGAGGGAGGAGGGUAGGAAGAGGAGAAGGAGAAAAGGAGGAGAUAAGUCAAGAGAUCACUGGAAAAUACGACGACGGUGCGAAGAGGAAGACGAUGACGAUCAAGCGGAGAAUACCAGCGCAUAAAUAACAUUUAUAGGAAGCUCUUAACGUCAGUAUUGACCUAGAAAAGUGGCAUAGACUAAUAAGGGGCACUGUUCUUCAGCAGACAAACGGAAUGAUAAAAUCAACGAGCUGUAAUAAAACAAAUGUUAUCGUUAGCUGUGUGUAUCAGACUGUCUACCACACACAACCUUUUACAUCGUAUCUAGAAGAAGCCUGACAAAUCCGUUUUUGUCGUAAUCCCUUGGUUUGAUAUCGACGGAGAGACAUGUGUACUAUACAACAGACAUUUAUCAUCGACCAGUGGUUGACUACCGAAAUAACAUAUACAUGUUCACAUGCUAUACAAAGUACAGAUAUCGACCUGUCGACUCCUGUUGCAUGUCAUUUAUAUGAUUACUGUUUACGCGGUAUUACCAAUAUAUCGAAUCAAACAGGACGUAUUUUCAUGGUUGUCACGGUUUAUCGUUUAAUCCGUAUUUGUUGUUGUUGUU
Long non-coding RNA from Ylistrum balloti, 624 nucleotides. RefSeq lists it as uncharacterized. The record is from RefSeq and is a predicted model, not a curated record. The transcript is spliced from 2 exons. NCBI's taxonomy places the organism in Eukaryota, Metazoa, Mollusca, Bivalvia, Pectinida, Pectinidae.